This is a long non-coding RNA of Ornithodoros turicata, 331 nucleotides long. RefSeq lists it as uncharacterized. The record is from RefSeq and is a predicted model, not a curated record. NCBI's taxonomy places the organism in Eukaryota, Metazoa, Arthropoda, Arachnida, Ixodida, Argasidae. The transcript is spliced from 2 exons.
GCUCAUUUAACUGGUGGAUUCGCUCGCGUCUGUUUCCUCCGACCCGUCUAACCGUUGUGCAGCUGGCGCAUAUGUGGGCAGACGAUGAUUUCGUUUCGUGGAGUUCGAAGACGUUCAAGCCAUCGCCGAACGCCGGAAUGCAACACACCGAUAGCUGUUCGUGGCCCUGCAAUCCCGAAGUAUGUACGCCCUGUCACAUGAAAACGCUACAGUUGUGCUAGGAUGAAGAGAAUGGCUCAUGCGCCUCAUUACGUGCUAUGUGCAUAAUGAUAUGUACUUUCAUUCAAAUGUUGCUUCUUGUUUACCUUGUCAAUAAAUUUGUACAUGUGCA